Molecule: ribosomal RNA, 496 nt
Filed under: uncultured bacterium
Lineage: Bacteria
Description: partial 16S ribosomal RNA
Rfam family: Bacterial small subunit ribosomal RNA
Source: RNAcentral
AUGAACGCUGGCGGUGUGCCUAAUACAUGCAAGUCGCGCGAACAGACGAGGAGCUUGCUCCUCUGACGUUAGCGGCGGACGGGUGAGUAACACGUGGAUAACCUACCUAUAAGACUGGGAUAACUUCGGGAAACCGGAGCUAAUACCGGAUAAUAUAUUGAACCGCAUGGUUCAAUAGUGAAAGACGGUUUUGCUGUCACUUAUAGAUGGAUCCGCGCCGCAUUAGCUAGUUGGUAAGGUAACGGCUUACCAAGGCAACGAUGCGUAGCCGACCUGAGAGGGUGAUCGGCCACACUGGAACUGAGACACGGUCCAGACUCCUACGGGAGGCAGCAGUAGGGAAUCUUCCGCAAUGGGCGAAAGCCUGACGGAGCAACGCCGCGUGAAUGAUGAAGGUCUUCGGAUCGUAAAACUCUGUUAUUAGGGAAGAACAAAUGUGUAAGUAACUAUGCACGUCUUGACGGUACCUAAUCAGAAAGCCACGGCUAACUACGUG